AUGCUUCAGUCCAUGGGGUUUCAAAGAGUUGCACAUGACUUAGCAACUAAACAACAACACACUUUACAUGGUCAGUGGGCAGACACGUGGACUCCUGCUUGGAUGUGGAUUUCCAGGGACCACUCGGCGUUCUUGGUACCAGGAAUCGGAACCACCAGUCUGGCUGUCACAGCCAAGUUUGGCCAGCCUGGCUUUAGCUAUUUCCUCAUUCUCAGCUAGCAUCACUGCCAGUCUUGCCAGCAUAUCUAGAGGCCUAAUCCAGACUCUCAUGGAGGCUAAGCCCGUGACCUUCUCUGCCAGAAUGGUGAUCCCUCUUCUUGCCUGUUGGACCCUUGACAUAAGAAGCUCAAAGUUCCUGCAUGGAAGCCAAGACUUAAUGUUCCAGAAACUCUUGCUGUGCCUUCUGGUAGAGCUGUGUGUCAAACACUAUACAGGACUCCACUUGGUGUUCUUGGCUAAGGCUGUGGGUAGGAAGGGCAAAUCCAUAACUGGAUUAUCUGUUCAUUCCAGUGAAAGUAGACUGUUACCCAGGGCAGAUGCGCAAAGGGGCUGCUUUUUAUUGCUCCAUGUAAGACAGACUUUGGCUUCAAGCUGCCCUCAGAAAAGGAGUAUAACCUUGGGUGAGAUGGCUUCUAGACAUGAACUGGUAAAAGUUUAACGAUUAACAACCUGAAAAGAAGUUCUGAUUUUUAGUGUUUUCUGAUUUUCAUGAUGUCGAUAAGGGGUUGGAAAACUACAGCAUGCUGGCCCACCAGCUGGUUUUAUAAAUAACAUUCUAUUGGAAGACAGACACAUCCAUUUGUUUAAAAAAAAUAUAUAUUGGUAUGGUUGUUUUUUUGUAACAAUGGCCCACCAGGCUCCUCUGUCCAUGGGACUUCCAGGCCAGAAUACUGGAGUGGUUUUCCAUUUCCUUCUCCAGGGGAUCUUCCCAACCCAGGAAUCAAAACUGGGUCUCCUGCAUUGCAAGCAGAUCCUUCACUGUCUGAACUACCAGCAAAGCCCAUUGUGCUAAUUGUCAACAUCAUUUAAAAUGGGACUUCCUGAUCAGGUCUGUUAUAAAGACAGUUCAUGGUCUACUGAAAAUGAUGGUAUUUAAGAGGUCAAUAAAUCACAUCUACCUCCGACCA
Molecule: long non-coding RNA, 1127 nt
Organism: Bos indicus x Bos taurus (hybrid cattle)
Lineage: Eukaryota; Metazoa; Chordata; Mammalia; Artiodactyla; Bovidae
Source: Ensembl